GUACACUCCUGCGGGAGGCAGCAGUGGGGAAUUUUGGACAAUGGGCGAAAGCCUGAUCCAGCAAUGCCGCGUGAGUGAAGAAGGCCUUCGGGUUGUAAAGCUCUUUUGUCAGGGAAGAAACGGUGAGAGCUAAUAUCUCUUGCUAAUGACGGUACCUGAAGAAUAAGCACCGGCUAACUACGUGCCAGCAGCCGCGGUAAUACGUAGGGUGCAAGCGUUAAUCGGAAUUACUGGGCGUAAAGCGUGCGCAGGCGGUUUUGUAAGUCUGAUGUGAAAUCCCCGGGCUCAACCUGGGAAUUGCAUUGGAGACUGCAAGGCUAGAAUCUGGCAGAGGGGGGUAGAAUUCCACGUGUAGCAGUGAAAUGCGUAGAUAUGUGGAGGAACACCGAUGGCGAAGGCAGCCCCCUGGGUCAAGAUUGACGCUCAUGCACGAAAGCGUGGGGAGCAAACAGGAUUAGAAACCCUAGUAGUCCCAUGAU
RNAcentral lists this ribosomal RNA (479 nucleotides) under uncultured organism. RNAcentral's name for it is "partial 16S ribosomal RNA". It matches the Rfam family "Bacterial small subunit ribosomal RNA", at positions 331 to 801 of the family's 1533-position model. The record is from RNAcentral.